RNAcentral lists this unclassified non-coding RNA (1084 nucleotides) under Hevea brasiliensis (rubber tree). The record is from RNAcentral. Lineage: Eukaryota; Viridiplantae; Streptophyta; Magnoliopsida; Malpighiales; Euphorbiaceae.
AUGAAAGCUAUUUAUUAUGUGUGUCGUUGGUCUUGGGGCUUUGCUUGAUUUUGCUGUAAUUGUGGCUUAAUGAUGAUAGAAAUGGUAUUUUAAAUAGGAUAAUAUUUAAUGAUAUUGGAUAAUUUAUCUGGUAGACUGGAACAGUUUCUGAUGUUUUUGUAUUAGACUGCUUAUUGAAAUUAGCUCCAGUGGAGUAUAAUACCAAUUCGUGUUGUAAGUAUUGGAUAAUUUGGUUAUUCUGCGAGAUAUGCUUGUAUGUGAUGUGCCCAUGAUAAUAGUUUUUGUACCCAGAGCAUUAAACCAAAUAUCUUGCCAGCAUAUGUUUCUGCGCAGCAACUGAUCAUACUGCUCUUUGCAGUGGCUACUUUGUAGAGUAUAAGUGCACUUUCUCUAUGUGUAUGUGCUUAAAUGGAUAAACCUUAAUCAGUGAUGAUUUCCAGAACACAUUUUAAGGCUUUGUGAGGAUAUUGGUGGAUAAAGGGUCUCCGUUAUUGUUCAGACCAAAAAAUCAUUUUGUUCAUUUUGCAGUUGGAGCUGAUGCUGACGAUGAUAGGAUUAAUUUGUUGCUGUCUGAAGUUGAUGGAAAGGAUGUUACAGAGUUGAUUGCUGCUGGUAGGGAGAAGUUGGCCUCAGUUCCUUCUGGUGGUGGUGUUGCUGUUGCUGCUGCUGCUGCCCCUGCUGCUGGAGGUGGUGCUGCAGCUCCUGCUGCUGAGGCCAAAAAAGAAGAGAAGGUUGAGGAGAAAGAGGAGUCUGAUGAGGAUAUGGGUUUCAGCCUCUUUGACUAGGAGAUUUGGUUGCUGCUUUCAUUUGUAUCAAGGCCUUCGUGCUAGCGUUUUAGUUAAAAAUUAUAAGUUUUUUGGUCUGUUGUUGGAUAUGAUAUUUGGAACUUGUUUGCAUUCUGGAAUUUUUGAGUUAGAUAACAGAGAUCAGCCUUUUCAGAUAUAAUUGUUAAUUUUGAGAUUCGCUUACUCUUUUCUCUCAUGAAUCUGUUUGCAAAUGAUGUGUAAAUAGUGUGAUUGUUUAAAUAAUUUCCUAGAGAGAAUACGUGGAAUCCGUAGGUGAAUUAAUAUUUCCAGUCUUGGCA